UCAUGUCUCUCUUAUGUGAGAUAAUUUAACGCACUCUAUUUCUCCCUUCCCCUUCCUCCAAUCCAUUCCUGUUUCUCACCCCAUAAAUUUUUUUAGAUAUCAUUCCAUCAUAUUUAACUCAUACCCUUGCUCUCUGUCUAUGUAUAUUACUUCUAACUGCCCUAAUAAUGAUAUAAAGUUCUUAGGAGUUAUAAGAAUCAUCUUCCCUUGUAGGUAUGUAAACAGUUUAACCUUAUUGAAUAUCUUUUGAUUUCUCUUUCCUACCUACCUUUUUAAUGCUUCUUUUUAAUCUUGUAUUUGAGAGUCAAGUUUUCCAUUCAGCUCUGGUCUUUUCAACAGGAAUAUUUGAAAGUCCUCUAUUUCAUUGAAUACCCAUUCCCCCCCCCUAAAGAAUUAUGCUUAGUUUUGCUGGAUAAAUGAUUCUUGGUUAGAGUUCUAGCUCCUUUGUCUUCCAGAAUAUCAUAUUCCAGACCUUCUGAUCCUUUAAUGUAGAAGCUGCUAAAUCUCUUAUUCUGACUGAGGAUCCAUAAUAUUUGAAUGAUUUCUUUUUGCCUGCUUGCAAUAUUUUUCUCUUUGACCUGAGGGUUCUAGAAUUUGGCUAUAACAUUCCUGGAAAUUAUCCUUUUGGAAUUUCUUUGAAGAGGACUGCCUGCAAAGGGUCAAUUCAACCCAGCAUGGCUCUAGCAGAGAUAUGAAUCACCAGCAGCAGCAACUACACCAAGUGGAUAAAAAUUAUAGGAUGCCGUUCUUGACGAGAGUUACAUAAAUAGAAUAUGUCACAACCAUCCUGAAGAUUUGGACUCUAUCGACACUUCAUGGGAAUGAAGCCAUCAACUGCCUGGGGCUAUGUCUUUGGUCAGAGGAUGAAGGACAACAACCAACCAACCAAUAUGAAUAUAUUGGAAUCUUGUUGGACCAUGAGAAAUGAUGAAAGGGAAGGAAUUCGGAGAAACCUGAGAUGACUUAAGUAUUAAUGCAGAUUGAACUGAGAGUCUAUUCUCCUUGGCAAAGAAAACAAAGUGAAGAAUCCAGCAGCCCCAUCCUUCUCUCCAUAAUCCAUUGCCAUGAUUCUACUUAUCCUGAGCAGCCAACCAGUCCCUUAUUCAAUCUUCCUCUUUCCUCCAUUGUUUCUACAUUGCUGAAGGACUUCAAGUACUGUCAACCCCCUUUAAAUUGAACUUUCUCUAAAUUCGGUGCCUUCAGUUGAUUUGCCCUAUUAGGUGCGCUCUGGCAUCACACAAGAGAAAUGACCAGCCCAGCUCAUCCUCUCAUCAAAUCACUGAAGAUGAAAUGAAUUUUAAAACAAUAUCCCAGGUGGAUUACACAUUUAGCUACUUAACAGGAGACUUUGCCGGGACCCUCAUUUAUUAUUUUGAAAAGCAAAGCCAGUUACUGCCAAUAAUUAAGUACAGCCUUGUCCGGGUCUCUGUUAUUUUAUACGCUUUAAAGCAGUAGAUUCCGUGGCUAAUAGCCAGCCUCCCUAUUGUAUCCUGAACUUGGCUUUGAAAAAACUUCUGAUAGCUUCCCACUGAGCCAAAAAUAAAGUUAGUGAUCUCCUUUUCA
Molecule: long non-coding RNA, 1563 nt
Filed under: Monodelphis domestica (gray short-tailed opossum)
Lineage: Eukaryota; Metazoa; Chordata; Mammalia; Didelphimorphia; Didelphidae
Description: lncRNA (ENSMODG00000040264.1)
Source: RNAcentral